Molecule: long non-coding RNA, 232 nt
Filed under: Apteryx rowi (Okarito brown kiwi)
Lineage: Eukaryota; Metazoa; Chordata; Aves; Apterygiformes; Apterygidae
Description: lncRNA (ENSARWG00000000007.1)
Source: RNAcentral
GAUAUUUCUAAUCCUCCGCAGAGCCGUGGCGCCCCGUAAACGGUGAUACUGGUGAAAUAUAUGUUAAGGAACAGGCUUUGCUGUUUCUUCAAAUUAAAUCUGUUGCUUUCUGCUGUCCCUCUUCCACUGGCCUGACAGAUGGGCUUAGACAGAGUUUCAGGUUGUACCAGAGAAAUGCUCACAUCGGAGCAUGGGUCACAACUCCUCAGCGUGGCCCAGCGAAGCCUCUCAC